CACGUAGUUAGCCGGGGGCUUCUUAGUCAGGUACCGUCUUUCUUCUUCCCUGCUGAUAGAGCUUUACAUACCGAAAUACUUCUUCACUCACGCGGCGUCGCUGCAUCAGGGUUUCCCCCAUUGUGCAAUAUUCCCCACUGCUGCCUCCCGUAGGAGUUUGGGCCGUGUCUCAGUCCCAAUGUGGCCGGUCGCCCUCUCAGGCCGGCUACUGAUCGUCGCCUUGGUGGGCCGUUACCUCACCAACUAGCUAAUCAGACGCGGGUCCAUCUCAUACCACCGGUAGUUUUUCACACUCUGUCACUCGACAAUGUGCGUCUUAUGGUCGGUUUAGCUAGUCUAUUUCUAACUUGUUACUCCCCUGUAUGGAGGCGUACGGUUACCCACGUCGUUACCUACCGACCCGUCCGCCGGUACUUAACGGUUUACUCGUACCUU
RNAcentral lists this ribosomal RNA (435 nucleotides) under uncultured Lachnospiraceae bacterium. RNAcentral's name for it is "partial 16S ribosomal RNA". Lineage: Bacteria; Bacillati; Bacillota; Clostridia; Lachnospirales; Lachnospiraceae. The record is from RNAcentral.